GUGUCAGCCGCCGCGGUAAUACGUAGGUGGCGAGCGUUAUCCGGAUUUAUUGGGUUUAAAGGGUGCGUAGGCGGCUUAAUAAGUCGGUGGUUAAAAGUAGCAGCUUAACUGUUUUACAUGCCAUCGAUACUGUUGAGCUUGAGAUAUUUGGAGGCAGCUAGAAUUUCCGGUGUAGCGGUGAAAUGCAUAGAUACCGGAAGGAAUACCAAUUGCGAAGGCAGGUUGCUACGAAUAAACUGACGCUGAUGCACGAAAGCGUGGGGAUCAAACAGGAUUAGAUACCCCCGUAGUCC
This 293-nucleotide ribosomal RNA is filed under the name uncultured bacterium. RNAcentral's name for it is "partial 16S ribosomal RNA". It matches the Rfam family "Bacterial small subunit ribosomal RNA", at positions 505 to 796 of the family's 1533-position model. The record is from RNAcentral.